CUACGGGCCGCUGCAGUGAGGAAUUUUGCGCAAUGGGGGAAACCCUGACGCAGCAACGCCGCGUGAGUGAUGAAGGCUUUCGAGUCGUAAAGCUCUGUCAAGUGGGAAGAACCUACUAAGUGCCAAUACCACUUAGUACUGACGGUACCACUGAAGGAAGCACCGGCUAACUCCGUGCCAGCAGCCGCGGUAAUACGGGGGGGUGCAAGCGUUACUCGGAAUUAUUGGGCGUAAAGGGCGCGCAGGCGGCCAGGUAAGUCAGAUGUGAAAGCCCGGGGCUCAACCCCGGAAGUGCAUUUGAAACUACUUGGCUUGAGUAUGGGAGAGGGAAGUGGAAUUCCUGGUGUAGAGGUGAAAUUCGUAGAUAUCAGGAGGAACACCGGUGGCGAAGGCGACUUCCUGGACCAAUACUGACGCUAAGGCGCGAAGGCGUGGGUAGCAAACAGGAUUAGAUACCCUGGUAGUC
RNAcentral lists this ribosomal RNA (466 nucleotides) under uncultured bacterium. RNAcentral's name for it is "partial 16S ribosomal RNA". It matches the Rfam family "Bacterial small subunit ribosomal RNA", at positions 339 to 795 of the family's 1533-position model. The record is from RNAcentral.